GCUGGCCAAGGUGGCGCACGCCUGUAAUCCUGACUCCUCAGAAGGCUGAGGCAGGAGGAUUGCAAGUUCAAGGCCAGCCUCAGCAACUUGGUGAGGGCCUAAACAACUUGGCAAGACCCUGUCUCAA
This 127-nucleotide small RNA is filed under the name Marmota monax (woodchuck). The record is from RNAcentral. Lineage: Eukaryota; Metazoa; Chordata; Mammalia; Rodentia; Sciuridae.